Molecule: ribosomal RNA, 467 nt
Filed under: uncultured bacterium
Lineage: Bacteria
Description: partial 16S ribosomal RNA
Rfam family: Bacterial small subunit ribosomal RNA
Source: RNAcentral
ACGCACGCUGGCGGCGUGCUUAACACCUGCAAGUCGAACGGAAAGGCCCUGCUUUUGUGGGGUGCUCGAGUGGCGAACGGGUGAGUAACACGUGAGUAACCUGCCCUUGACUUUGGGAUAACUUCAGGAAACUGGGGCUAAUACCGGAUAGGAGCUCCUGCUGCAUGGUGGGGGUUGGAAAGUUUCGGCGGUUGGGGAUGGACUCGCGGCUUAUCAGCUUGUUGGUGGGGUAGUGGCUUACCAAGGCUUUGACGGGUAGCCGGCCUGAGAGGGUGACCGGCCACAUUGGGACUGAGAUACGGCCCAGACUCCUGCGGGAGGCAGCAGUGGGGAAUAUUGCACAAUGGGCGGAAGCCUGAUGCAGCAACGCCGCGUGCGGGAUGACGGCCUUCGGGUUGUAAACCGCUUUCGCCUGUGACGAAGCGUGAGUGACGGUAAUGGGUAAAGAAGCACCGGCUAACUACGUG